GAUGAACGCUAGCUACAGGCUUAACACAUGCAAGUCGAGGGGAAACGACAUCGAAAGCUUGCUUUUGAUGGGCGUCGACCGGCGCACGGGUGAGUAACGCGUAUCCAACCUGCCCACCACUUGGGGAUAACCUUGCGAAAGUAAGACUAAUACCCAAUGACGUCUCUAGAAGACAUCUGAAAGGGAUUAAAGAUUUAUCGGUGAUGGAUGGGGAUGCGUCUGAUUAGCUUGUUGGCGGGGUAACGGCCCACCAAGGCGACGAUCAGUAGGGGUUCUGAGAGGAAGGUCCCCCCACAUUGGAACUGAGACACGGUCCAAACUCCUACGGGAGGCAGCAGUGAGGAAUAUUGGUCAAUGGACGAGAGUCUGAACCAGCCAAGUAGCGUGCAGGAUGACGGCCCUAUGGGUUGUAAACUGCUUUUAUAAGGGAAUAAAGUUAGUCUCGUGAGACUUUUUGCAUGUACCUUAUGAAUAAGGACCGGCUAAUUCCGUG
This 493-nucleotide ribosomal RNA is filed under the name uncultured bacterium. Its description in RNAcentral is "bacterial SSU rRNA". It matches the Rfam family "Bacterial small subunit ribosomal RNA", at positions 28 to 507 of the family's 1533-position model. The record is from RNAcentral.